Molecule: ribosomal RNA, 1439 nt
Filed under: uncultured bacterium
Lineage: Bacteria
Description: bacterial SSU rRNA
Rfam family: Bacterial small subunit ribosomal RNA
Source: RNAcentral
AGAGUUUGAUCAUGGCUCAGAACGUACGCUGGCGGCACGCCUAACACAUGCAAGUCGAACGAAGUAGCAAUACUUAGUGGCAGACGGGUGAGUAACAUGUGGGUAUCUGCCCUUUGGCCUGGAAUAACACGAGGAAACUUGUGCUAAUACUGGAUAAGUCUUUACGGAGAAAGCUUUAUGCACCAUUGGAUGAGCCCGCACUUGAUUAGUUUGUUGGUGGGGUAAUGGCCUACCAAGACUUUGAUCAAUAGCUGAUUUGAGAGGAUGAUCAGCCACAUUGGGACUGAGACACGGCCCAAACUCCUACGGGAGGCAGCAGUGGGGAAUCUUGCACAAUGGAGGAAACUCUGAUGCAGCGAUGCCGCGUGAGUGAAGAAGGCCCUUGGGUUGUAAAGCUCUUUCGUCGGGGAAGAAAAUGACUGUACCCGAAUAAGAAGGUCCGGCUAACUUCGUGCCAGCAGCCGCGGUAAUACGAAGGGACCUAGCGUAGUUCGGAAUUACUGGGCUUAAAGAGUUCGUAGGUGGUUGAAAAAGUUGGUGGUGAAAUCCCAGAGCUUAACUCUGGAACUGCCAUCAAAACUUUUCAGCUAGAGUUUGAUAGAGGAAAGCAGAAUUUCUAGUGUAGAGGUGAAAUUCGUAGAUAUUAGAAAGAAUACCAAUUGCGAAGGCAGCUUUCUGGAUCAUUACUGACGCUGAGGAACGAAAGCAUGGGUAGCGAAGAGGAUUAGAUACCCUCGUAGUCCAUGCCGUAAACGAUGUGUGUUAGACGUUGGAAAUUUAUUUUCAGUGUCGCAGCGAAAGCGAUAAACACACCGCCUGGGGAGUACGACCGCAAGGUUAAAACUCAAAUGAAUUGACGGGGACCCGCACAAGUAGUGGAGCAUGUGGUUUAAUUCGAAGAUACGCGCAGAACCUUACCAACACUUGACAUGUUCGUCGCGACUUUAAGAGAUUAAAGUUUUCGGUUCGGCCGGACGAAACACAGGUGCUGCAUGGCUGUCGUCAGCUCGUGUCGUGAGAUGUUGGGUUAAGUCCCGCAACGAGCGCAACCCUCACUUUUAGUUGCCAUCAUUAAGUUGGGCACUCUGAAAGAACUGCCAGUGAUAAGCUGGAGGAAGGUGGGGAUGACGUCAAGUCCUCAUGGCCCUUACGUGUUGGGCUACACACGUGCUACAAUGGUAUCUACAACAGGAAGCGAAACAGCGAUGUUAAGCAAAUCCUUAAAAGAUACCUCAGUUCGGAUUGCACUCUGCAACUCGAGUGCAUGAAGCUGGAAUUACUAGUAAUCGUGGAUCAGCGUGCCACGGUGAAUGCGUUCCCGGGUCUUGUACACACCGCCCGUCACACCAUGGGAGUUGGUUCUACCUUAAGGCAAGGUUUAAUACCCUUGACCACGGUAUAGUCAGCGACUGGGGUGAAGUCGUAACAAGGUAACCGUA